CUGAAUUGAGUCUGAACUCAGGAGGCUGAGUGAGUUCAGGAAGCUUCAAGCUCAGCAGGGCCAGCCCUGAAGAUGGCAACAGAGCUCGGUGCUUUGGUCCCCACAAGGAAACUAAGCCAUGGCUGACUGAAGGUGGACCGUUACCAAGGAGCUCGUGGCUUUAGUUGUUGUGCCUUCUCCAGAUGUCUUCAGCUAAGAAGGAAUAGGAGAAACAGGGCAGCCCACAGAGACCUGCUCCGAGGGCUUCCAUAACAAAAAUGCUGUACACUAGGGGUCUUAAGCAACCAAUGUUUGUUAUUCCGAUUCUGAAGACUUGAAGUCCACGGUCAGCAUGCUGAUACCAUGUGACCCAUGUCCUCGAGCUCUGCUGCUGUGCCUCCCCAACCACAAUGGAUGAUAACUUAAAACUAUAAGCAGCAGGAAAAGAAACCAAGACACCAUGUAUUGGAACCAUUGCGGUGGCUGUGGUAAAACACAUGACCAAACGUAACUUAGAGAAGGAAUUUACCAUCCCAGAGGGACAAGACUUCGUCAUGGCAGGUAAGCAUGGCAGCAAGAGACAGAACGUGGUGGUGUUGGGAACAGGAAGAUGGAAGCACAAAUCUUCAAGCCACAGGAGGAAAAAGCAAUAGUGAGCUCGCAGUGGAGCAAGGCAUUAAACUCACAAAGCUGCCCUCCAAUGAUGCAAUUCUUUCAGCAAUCUAAGCAACUGCCCAUCCCAGCCCCUCCCCCAACACUUAUUCACACAGCGCCACCAACUGAUAACCAAGUAUUAAAAUAUCUGAACCUAAGUUGGGCAUUCUCAUUCAAAUGAUCAUGCCCAAAUAAUAUGUAAAUUUAAUGCAAUACCACUAAAUGUUGACACCCAAGAAGGUGUCUUUUUUUAGUUCUUAUUCUAGUGUACAAACAUUCUCUGCCCUACCUCCUGAAUUUAUAAGGAAAUGCAAAGGUGCGAACAAUCAAUUUGGAGGAUGAAUAAAGUUGAAGUGAUUACAGCA
This is a long non-coding RNA of Mastomys coucha (southern multimammate mouse), 998 nucleotides long. RefSeq lists it as uncharacterized. NCBI's taxonomy places the organism in Eukaryota, Metazoa, Chordata, Mammalia, Rodentia, Muridae. The transcript has 3 exons. The record is from RefSeq and is a predicted model, not a curated record.